CUGCCCCACACCCACCUCCUUCCCGUAUGCUCAGGUCACUGAUGAAGAGACCCAAGAGCGAGGCCCAGGGACAACUGUUCCAACCAAAUGAAACUUCAGGAGAUCCCUGCCCAGAGAGAGCAGAGCAAAUACACACUUAGCCAUCAUGAGCCCAUUAGGAUCCCACCAAAGGGUGUGGAGGGUGCACGUGUAACCACAGGGUGCAAGCAGAAAUUUUUUCUUCUACUACAUACGGCCCCUGGGAAUAAAAUUCAGGUGUCAGGCUUGGCACCCAACACCUUCUCCUACGAACCCAUCUAAAGAUCCCAGACCAAGGGCAACCUACAAGUUAACUGGAGAGAUGACUCAGUGGUUAAGAGCACUCACUGGCAGCUCUUCUGGAGACCGGGUGUUCGAUUCCCAGCAUCUACACAGUGGUGUGCAAC
Long non-coding RNA from Onychomys torridus (southern grasshopper mouse), 425 nucleotides. RefSeq lists it as uncharacterized. The record is from RefSeq and is a predicted model, not a curated record. The transcript is spliced from 4 exons. Lineage: Eukaryota; Metazoa; Chordata; Mammalia; Rodentia; Cricetidae.